This 605-nucleotide ribosomal RNA is filed under the name uncultured archaeon. Its description in RNAcentral is "bacterial SSU rRNA". It matches the Rfam family "Archaeal small subunit ribosomal RNA", at positions 324 to 929 of the family's 1478-position model. The record is from RNAcentral.
UACGGGGUGCAGCAGGCGCGAAAACUUUACAAUGCUGGCAACAGCGAUAAGGGAACCUCGAGUGCCAGGUUACAAAUCUGGCUGUCGAGAUGCCUAAAAAGCAUUUCAUAGCAAGGGCCGGGCAAGACCGGUGCCAGCCGCCGCGGUAACACCGGCGGCUCGAGUGGUAACCGUUAUUAUUGGGUCUAAAGGGUCUGUAGCCGGCCGGAUAAGUCUCUUGAGAAAUCUGGCAGCUUAACUGUCAGGCUUUCAGGAGAUACUGUCUGGCUCGAGGCCGGGAGAGGUGAGAGGUACUUCAGGGGUAGGGGUGAAAUCUUGUAAUCCUUGAAGGACCACCAGUGGUGAAGGCGUCUCACCAGAACGGACCUGACGGCAAGGGACGAAAGCUAGGGGCACGAACCGGAUUAGAUACCCGGGUAGUCCUAGCCGUAAACGAUACUCGCUAGGUGUCGGCCACGGUGCGACCGUUGUCGGUGCCGUAGGGAAGCCGUGAAGCGAGCCACCUGGGAAGUACGGCCGCAAGGCUGAAACUUAAAGGAAUUGGCGGGGGAGCACCACAACGGGUGGAGCUUGCGGUUUAAUUGGAUUCAACGCCGGAAAUCUUA